Molecule: ribosomal RNA, 253 nt
Filed under: uncultured bacterium
Lineage: Bacteria
Description: partial 16S ribosomal RNA
Rfam family: Bacterial small subunit ribosomal RNA
Source: RNAcentral
GACAGAGGGUGCAAACGUUGUUCGGAAUUACUGGGCGUAAAGCGCGUGUAGGCUGCUCGGAAAGUCGGAUGUGAAAGCCCUGGGCUCAACCUAGGAAGUGCAUUCGAAACUUCCGAGCUGGAGUGCUGGAGAGGAAGGCGGAAUUCUCGGUGUAGAGGUGAAAUUCGUAGAUAUCGAGAGGAACACCGGUGGCGAAGGCGGCCUUCUGGACAGCGACUGACGCUGAGGCACGAAAGCGUGGGGAGCAAACAGG